This 508-nucleotide ribosomal RNA is filed under the name uncultured bacterium. RNAcentral's name for it is "partial 16S ribosomal RNA". It matches the Rfam family "Bacterial small subunit ribosomal RNA", at positions 28 to 507 of the family's 1533-position model. The record is from RNAcentral.
GACGAACGCUGGCGGCGUGCCUAAUACAUGCAAGUCGAACGCUUCUUUCCUCCGGGUUCCUGCCACCCAUUGGGAAGGGGGGUGGGCGGCGGGGGGGUAAAACCUUGGUAAACCACCCAAUAGAGGGGGAUAAAACUUGGGAAAAGGGUGUUAUACCGCAAAACCGGUUUAUGCCGAAUGGCUAAAGGGUGAAGGGCGCUUUGGGUGGUCGCGGUUGGUUGGACCCGCGGGGCAUUAGCUAGUUGGUGAGGUAACGGCUCACCAAGGCCACGAUGCAUAGCCGACCUGAGAGGGUGAUCGGCCACACUGGGACUGAGACACGGCCCAGACUCCUACGGGAGGCAGCAGUAGGGAAUCUUCGGCAAUGGACGAAAGUCUGACCGAGCAACGCCGCGUGAGUGAAGAAGGUUUUCGGAUCGUAAAACUCUGUUGUUAGAGAAGAACAAGGACGUUAGUAACUGAACGUCCCCUGACGGUAUCUAACCAGAAAGCCACGGCUAACUACGUG